AAGCAGCACCAGGUCUUUCCAGGACUCUAGAAGCGAACGCCAGAUACUCGGCCAUCUGGGUGAUCGGCGCCUACACGCAUGACCCCACAGGAAACGCUCUGCACACGAAGCCAGGAGUUUAAGGACAGGGGCUGGGACACAGCCUCAGGCUCGACCCCAGCUCUGCCCCUUCUUCUGCUGUGUGACUCAGACAACACUCAGUGGCUGUGACUGCCUCCCUGGCCAAGACCACUGGCGGAAAUGACGUGGGCAUGUUUAAACGAGGAUGGAGGAGACUGGAGUCGAGAGAAAAGAGUUGCACGAGGUUCGAAAAGAUGGGGAAACCGAGGCUCAAAGAAGUCUCUACGGACACAGUCAGUCAGUGAUGGAAUCAGGAUUUGAACCCAGGUCUGAGUCUUGAGCUCCCACAGGCCUCGCCUCAGGUAUAAAUAAUGCAGCAGUAAUAGCAGCAGCUGCCUAUUAGCACACCCUUCCUCUCCUUUCAUCGUAGCCCCUCGGCAGGGGCGCACAGGAGCCCCAUCGGGACUUGCAAAGCUCAACUUGGAGAAAUGCAGUGGCCUGCCCAGGGUCACACCGAUCU
Long non-coding RNA from Myotis myotis, 580 nucleotides. RefSeq lists it as uncharacterized. Lineage: Eukaryota; Metazoa; Chordata; Mammalia; Chiroptera; Vespertilionidae. The transcript has 3 exons. The record is from RefSeq and is a predicted model, not a curated record.